CCAUUACUCCUGGAGGAGCCACUUGGCCUGCAAGUCCAGGAGCAGCCACUGGUGCCCGCAUACCUGGUGGAGGUGGAGGAGGGGGUAGGGGCAAAUGUGAUAUUCCUGGAGGUAAUACAUCAGACUGUAAUGUAGGUAUCACGGUUGGCCCAGGAACAGGAGGUGGUUGCCGUGGAGGUGGUGGUGGGGGAACCAUGUUAAGAUUAUCCUUAGUUGCUGUCAGAUUAUUGCCAUUGACUUCAGAUGAGGCACCUUCAGACUGACUGCUGGCUGCCUUCAGCAGCAUACCAGGAGGAGGUGGUGGUGGAGGGAGUACAGUAGGCACCUGAACUGUUUCUUUGGAGGAUGGUUCAUCUGACAAAGUAGAUGAAUUUCUCUCAUGUUCAAUUUCGUUGGUGCCAGGUGGAGGUGGCUGAGCAGACUG
RNAcentral lists this unclassified non-coding RNA (424 nucleotides) under Hevea brasiliensis (rubber tree). The record is from RNAcentral. Lineage: Eukaryota; Viridiplantae; Streptophyta; Magnoliopsida; Malpighiales; Euphorbiaceae.